GACGAACGCUGGCGGCGUGCCUAAUGCAUGCAAGUAGAACGCUGAAGGAGGAGCUUGCUUCUCUGGAUGAGUUGCGAACGGGUGAGUAACGCGUAGGUAACCUGCCUGGUAGCGGGGGAUAACUAUUGGAAACGAUAGCUAAUACCGCAUAAUAGUAGAUGUCGCAUGACAUUUGCUUAAAAGGUGCAAUUGCAUCACUACCAGAUGGACCUGCGUUGUAUUAGCUAGUUGGUGAGGUAACGGCUCACCAAGGCAACGAUACAUAGCCGACCUGAGAGGGGGAUCGGCCACACUGGGACUGAGACACGGCCCAGACUCCUACGGGAGGCAGCAGUAGGGAAUCUUCGGCAAUGGACGGAAGUCUGACCGAGCAACGCCGCGGGAGUGAAGAAGGUUUUCGGAUCGUAAAGCUCUGUUGUAAGGGAAGAACGAGUGUGAGAGUGGAAAGUUCACACUGUGACGGUAUCUUACCAGAAAGGGACGGCUAACUACGUG
This 495-nucleotide ribosomal RNA is filed under the name uncultured bacterium. RNAcentral's name for it is "partial 16S ribosomal RNA". It matches the Rfam family "Bacterial small subunit ribosomal RNA", at positions 28 to 507 of the family's 1533-position model. The record is from RNAcentral.